Molecule: non-coding RNA, 98 nt
Organism: Mycena rebaudengoi
Lineage: Eukaryota; Fungi; Basidiomycota; Agaricomycetes; Agaricales; Mycenaceae
Source: the annotation of a GenBank genome assembly
GGCUCAGUGGUGUAAUGGUUAACACACCCAUUUGCAAUUCUGAGAAUGUUGACUAGUAAAUUUGGUGGGAGGUCCCUGUUCAAUUCAGGGUUGGGUCA